GGUGGCUCAGUGGUAGAGUACUUGCCUUAUAUGCAUGAGGCCUGGGUUCCUCAGCACCA
Molecule: transfer RNA, 59 nt
Filed under: Dipodomys ordii (Ord's kangaroo rat)
Lineage: Eukaryota; Metazoa; Chordata; Mammalia; Rodentia; Heteromyidae
Rfam family: tRNA
About the family: Transfer RNA (tRNA) molecules are approximately 80 nucleotides in length.
Source: Rfam by way of RNAcentral